This 29-nucleotide non-coding RNA is filed under the name Mus musculus (house mouse). The record is from RNAcentral. Lineage: Eukaryota; Metazoa; Chordata; Mammalia; Rodentia; Muridae.
UACAGUAUAAAAAAAAAAAUAGGCAUAGU